CAGUAGCCGCGGUAAUACGUAGGGUGCAAGCGUUAAUCGGAAUUACUGGGCGUAAAGCGUGCGCAGGCGGUUAUAUAAGACAGAUGUGAAAUCCCCGGGCUCAACCUGGGAACUGCAUUUGUGACUGUAUAGCUAGAGUACGGCAGAGGGGGAUGGAAUUCCGCGUGUAGCAGUGAAAUGCGUAGAUAUGAGGAGGAACACCGAUGGCGAAGGCAAUCCCCUGGGCCUGUACUGACGCUCAUGCACGAAAGCGUGGGGAGCAAACAGGAUUAGAUACCCCAGUAGUCCCUGUCUCUUAUAC
Molecule: ribosomal RNA, 301 nt
Filed under: uncultured bacterium
Lineage: Bacteria
Description: partial 16S ribosomal RNA
Rfam family: Bacterial small subunit ribosomal RNA
Source: RNAcentral